This 484-nucleotide ribosomal RNA is filed under the name uncultured bacterium. RNAcentral's name for it is "partial 16S ribosomal RNA". It matches the Rfam family "Bacterial small subunit ribosomal RNA", at positions 29 to 507 of the family's 1533-position model. The record is from RNAcentral.
AUUGAACGCUGGCGGCAUGCUUUACACAUGCAAGUCGAACGGCAGCGCGGGCUUCGGCCUGGCGGCGAGUGGCGAACGGGUGAGUAAUACAUCGGAACGUGCCCAGUAGUGGGGGAUAGCUCGGCGAAAGCCGGAUUAAUACCGCAUACGACCUGAGGGUGAAAGCGGGGGAUCUUCGGACCUCGCGCUAUUGGAGCGGCCGAUGGCAGAUUAGCUAGUUGGUGGGGUAAAGGCCUACCAAGGCGACGAUCUGUAGCUGGUCUGAGAGGACGACCAGCCACACUGGGACUGAGACACGGCCCAGACUCCUACGGGAGGCAGCAGUGGGGAAUUUUGGACAAUGGGCGAAAGCCUGAUCCGGCAGUGCCGCGUGUGUGAUGAAGGCCUUCGGGUUGUAAAGCACUUUUGGCGGGAACGAAAAGGACUGUGCCAAUACCACGGUUCGAUGACGGUACCCGCAGAAUAAGCACCGGCUAACUACGUG